Small nucleolar RNA from Loxodonta africana (African savanna elephant), 73 nucleotides. Its record names the gene SNORD27. It matches the Rfam family "Small nucleolar RNA SNORD27". Rfam says of the family: U27 is a member of the C/D class of snoRNA which contain the C (UGAUGA) and D (CUGA) box motifs. NCBI's taxonomy places the organism in Eukaryota, Metazoa, Chordata, Mammalia, Proboscidea, Elephantidae. The record is from Ensembl.
UAUCCAUGAUGAAGUUAAAAAUGGCAAGCAUAUGGCUGAAUAUAACAGGUGAUGUCACCUUCCUGCUGAGAAG